ACUAUCGCGAGGUAGCGGGGAGAGGAAGGGAUAGCGAAAUCGUGGCUCUACGAACAGAAACGUGAUAUUAAGGCGUAUAUAGCGGAUGAGGGGGCUGAAAACUCUAAAGUCCAAAUAGGAGUAAACGAGGAAAGAUGUACGACUUAUCCC
RNAcentral lists this non-coding RNA (150 nucleotides) under Streptococcus varani. Lineage: Bacteria; Bacillati; Bacillota; Bacilli; Lactobacillales; Streptococcaceae. The record is from RNAcentral.